Molecule: ribosomal RNA, 497 nt
Filed under: uncultured bacterium
Lineage: Bacteria
Description: partial 16S ribosomal RNA
Rfam family: Bacterial small subunit ribosomal RNA
Source: RNAcentral
GACGAACGCUGGCGGCGUGCCUAAUACAUGCAAGUAGAACGCUGAAGAGAGGAGCUUCCUCUUCUUGGAUGAGUUGCGAACGGGUGAGUAACGCGUAGGUAACCUGCCUUGUAGCGGGGGAUAACUAUUGGAAACGAUAGCUAAUACCGCAUAACAAUGGAUGACACAUGUCAUUUAUUUGAAAGGGGCAAUUGCUCCACUACAAGAUGGACCCGCGUUGUAUUAGCUAGUAGGUGAGGUAAUGGCUCACCUAGGCGACGGUACAUAGCCGACCUGCGAGGGGGGACGGUCAACCUGGGAAUGGGAAACGGCCCAGACCCCAGCGGGAGGCAGCAGUAGGGAAUCUUCGGCAAUGGGGGAAACGCUGACCGAGCAACGCCGCGUGAGGGAAGAAGGUUGUCGGAUCGUAAAGCUCAGUUGUAAGUCAAGAACGGGUGUGAGAGUGGAAAGUUCACACUGUGACGGUAGCUUAACAGAAAGGGACGGCUAACUACGUG